CCGGCGUUUACAAAAAUGUCAGUAGCAAAAAGUCCGAAGGCAAAUACCCCUACAAGGAGAUUUGAAACGAUUAGCAAUGGUGAGGUGCACCGUCAGUUGGUUUUGUCCCUGAGAGGAAAACAUAGCAGUGAGAGUCCAUCAGAACCUACCAAAAAUGAUCUCGCCAAAUUGUCUCCCAAACCUUUAUCUUUGCAGGGAGUGGUGCCUGCUUCCCAAAUCAUUAUUCCAUUCAAAUUGAUGCAGAUAUUCUGCGGUUAGCAUUUUAUCAUUUUGUAUAAACCAGAAGCAGCAUGUUCUAAUGGGAAGGACUAGAUUUGGGGAAUCAUACAGAUUUGGGCUCCAUCCAGCCCCAACGUUGCUGACAUUCACAGAAGUUAUUUGCCUUCUCUGAACCUUGGUACCCUCAGUCACAAAAUGGUCGGGGGGAGUGAUACCUCUUGGGGGGCAAGUAGGACAGGUACAAAAUACUCCCUUUGGCGUCAAUAGCUACUCAACAUCAGUUAGUUCCUUUUUUUUUUUUUUCUGUAGAAAAUAUAUUCUGCCUGCUCAUGUUUGGAAAUGCAAAUACUCUGAGGAGGGGAUAUUUAUGACAUCAUGGCGGCUGAAGUGAAUGAGGUUGUUAGGGAGUUAUCCUUAAAGAUAAAAAAGGUCAUUCCAGAAACCUCGAUUGAAUUGGAUGUUUCAUUUGACAGUUGGGCAGAGAAAAUGAGAAGAAAGGGAGAGUGUUAAAGAAAAAUGUUGGUGACUGUAUCGGUUUCAUACAGCUGCUGUAAAAAGUUACCACAAACAGAGUAGCUUAAAACAACACAAGUGUAUCUUCUUAGAGUUCUAGAGGUAGGUUUCCCUGGGUGAAAUCAACAGGUUAGCAGGAUUGUGUUCCUUCUGGAAGCUUGAGGGUAGAAUUCAUUUCUUGCCUUUUCCAGAUUCUAGGCUGUUUUACAUUCCUUAUCUGUGACCCCCUUCUAGCAAUUAUGUCACUAUGACCUCUGCUUCCAUUGUCACAUUUUCUUUGACUCAGAGUUUCCUGCCUCCCCACCACCCCCCCCCCCCCGCUUUUUUUUAAAGUUAUUUAUCUUAAGAGAUUUUGAGUGAGAGAGAGAGAAAGAGAGAGAGCGAGAGCGCGCGCGCAGGGGAGGGACACACAGAGAGAGAGAUUUCCAAGCAGGCUCCGUGCUGCAGGCACAAAGCCCAGCGUGAGGCUCAAACCCACAAACUGUGAGAUCACGACCUGAGCUGAAACCAAAAACAGGACGCUUAACGGACUGAACCACCCAGGCACCCCUCCUGCCUGCCUCCCUCUUAUAAGGACUUUUGAUUACAUUGGGUCCACCUGUCCAACCCAGGAUAAUCUCCUUAACUCAAAAGCCUGAGUUUAAUCACACCUGUAAAUUCCCGUUUGUCAUAUAAGGUAACAAAUCCACAGUUUCCAGGGAUCAGGAUAUGGACAUUUUGGGAGAGGAGGGCAUUAUUCUUUCUGCUACACUGACUUUGCUGUUUGGCUGAGAAUCCUGUGGGUAGGUUGUAUUUCCUGGAUUUUAUCUGUCCUCUGGCAAAUUCCACGGGAUUAGUCCCAAUAAGAUUGAACAUGGUAGGGCAGAAUUCUUUAUAGGAAGCUUCACUGUGAACUCUUUCAAAGCCUACACAGUACAGCUAUAGAUUAUCAGUGCACUAUUGUCUGUUAAAAAUAUCAAAGGCGGCUGUGCAGAGCAGAGGUACAUACAAGUUACUUGAAAGGAUAAAGACUUCCCAAAUGCAGCUCAAUUAUGGGAGAAGUUGGCAAGUGUGAGAGUCAGCAUUAACCCUUGUAAACGUCAAGGAUCUGCUACAGUUUCAGUUAAGUUUCUACCCAGCUUUGACUCCCAUAUUCAAUGUCCUCCAUCUGCAAAUUGUGCUGACAUCAGCACUGAAAAGUUGAUCCAUUAUAGCAGAAGUGAAGACAAGUUUGGCUGAAACCUUCAUCCGGUUUUCAUUUUGAUCUGUAUUGAUUGCUAUAAUUUUCUUUUUUGUGGCUUUGCCAGGAUGCGCUUUAUCACAAUGAGAACUGGCUCUUUUAAUAGCUUCAGCCAGCUCACUCUCAGAGGGUCUGACCUCUGAGAGUAGGCAAUCAUUGAUCAUUCAUGGCAAUUUUCCCCCCAGGUUCAGGAAGUCUCAAUGGUAAGAGAUUUUUUUUUUUUUUUUUUUUUUUUUUUACACCUUUAAGCAAGAUUCUUAAAGACCAGGUCUCUGGCUUUUUCAAGGGGCAAUAAGUCUGUCUGGGCAUACUUUUCCAGGAAACCAGGGAAAUUUAUGAUUUGAAAAAGGACAAGUGCCAGCACUUUCCUCUGGCAUUUUAUUUGUCAGAAGUGCUUCCAAUUAGGGCGGGUUUGUUCUUUCUGAGACAGGAUUUCUAGGCUCCUAGGAUGGGUGUCUGAAAUGCCAGCUCUGUGGUCCAUGGUGAUUCUGUGAUGGGCAGCUCUCCUAUUUAUUGUCCUGUGAUAUUUUGCAGAAAGUUGCUUUCCCUCUUCUUUGCCUCCUUAGGCAUCAUCUCUGCUUCUCCUAAUGGCUUAACAAGCAUCUAUCUGCUUUCCAAACAUUUCAUUCCGGUGCAUUUGAUCUAGCUUCAGAAGGGCACAGUCACAGGCCACCUGAAUGUCACAGGCCAUGCCAACAAAGGGCGGCAGAACCUGAAGCAGCGAUUCACAGACAAUGUCCUAUCACACGGGGCUUUUGUAAGACACUCCAGCCAUUGCCCUUAACCCUGAGCUACUUGUCUGUAUUUUACAAGCCUCAGAAGCUAACAAUAGCUCCUUUUGUCCUCAGGGUCAGGUGGAAUACCAUUUAUGGUCUCUGUAUUGCAACGUAUGAUUUGAAGGGGAUGUUUUUAAAAUGUCUAUAGAACCUACCUUGGUGUCAAAAAAUUCUUUAAGUGAGGUCAUAUUUUUGAAAUUUUAACAGAUACAUUUUUCAUUCCUAUAACCCUCCCUAGUGGGUUCUAUUUAUCUUAUGAAUCUGCUCCCAGUAGUGUUCCUUGCUUCAGGGGAGCUGAUCGCAUUUAUGAAUGAAUUUAUAAGCUGACACAAUAGCCUAAAAGUAAAGUGCUUUUGAUUUGCCAGAGCUGUGUGCUUGAGACACUUGUUAUUGUUGUUGCUUUGUUUGGAAUUCCAAAAAGGCUUGGAUGGGAAGACUGAGAGCCACCCUUGGGGGUGGGGGGGGGGAAUGUGGCUGAGGAUGCCACACAAGGAGGCUGAAGGAGUGAAGAGGCACUCCCAUGCUCCCUGCCUCACGCUGGCUGACAAACCCAGGGUCAGGACAACAGAAAUCUCCAGAAUGAUUUCUGGAAAUCCAUUUGAAGUGUGUCCUAUCCCUCUCAGGGUGUAGCUCAGGAGCUGCAAGCCUUUUAGAGAAGCUUCACACCCAGCACGGUAUCAGAUGAGGGUACCUGCAUUAGCAACGGCAGAAGAUCAAACUGGUGGAGCCCAAGGGUCUCCUCACAAGACUCAUACGUUCUGGUGUGGUGUGGGGUAAGCAGUUGUAAAUUCCCACAUCCCUAAGGGAUGACAGGCAUUAGAAUGCCGACAGGACCAAGAGGCUAGGAGGGCCUGAAAUUAGGACAAAGAGAUUGAUUAUGAUGUCUGUGGUCCUUGUCAGGAUGCCAUAGAUCAGCUAAGGAAACCUAAGCAUGCCUCUUCUUUGUUGUUUGUUUUUUAAAGUUUAUUUAUUUAUUUUGAGAGAGACACAGACAGUGCGAGUAGGGGAGGGGCAGAGGGAGAGGAAGAGAGAGAAUUCCAAGCAUGCUGCACACUGUCAGCACAGAGCCCAAUGUGGGGCUCCAACUCAGAACCAUGAGAUUGUGACUUGAACUGAAACUAAGAGUUGGAUGCUUAACCAACUGAGCAACCCAAGUGCCCCGGCCUCUUCAUUGUGGUGUAAAUAUGACACCAUCAGGCAAGCCCAAGGAUAAAGAAAGAGGAAAAUGAAGGUAUUAAAAAGUCCUUACUUUUUUCCUCAGGAUUCUAUCUGGGUCCAUCUGAUCUCAGUCUGUCUAUGGACAAAUUAGGGUCUUUGAUCACUAGUAAUUUGGGACAUGGAGGUCAAAUUCUGGGACCUGGUCCCUACUAUGGAAUCAUUACAGUAUUCUACCCUUUCACUCAACCAUGAACGUAGAAAAACAGUGACAUAACCAGGAAAUGUGCAUGAGGAGAACCACCAAAGCCACAGAUAAUUGGCAUGCUGGAAAAACAGGACUCAUACCAGGAUACCAUUAGGCCUUCCAAACAAAGAACUGGGAAAAUACAUAACCGGACUCUGUGGUAUGAAGGAGGAUGCUAUUGCUUUUCACACAGGUGCCCUUCAUUAGGAAACCUAGCCCCAGAUAGUAGGUUGGGAACGGGGUGAGUAGGGGCUGGUGGGUGAGGGAAAGACUACAUUCCUUUUAGCCACAAAGAUCCUGUGACCUUUAGAGGUGGGGCUUCUAAAUUGAAGGCCAACUGUUCUAUAUUCAAUUAUAAAUGUGUAAUUUACAGUUUAAUAUGGCACCUAGCUGACAGCCUCUGGUGGAGCAUCUCUCAAUUGUCUACUAAAGUAUACAUGGGGCUUGUGAAAAAAGAUGGAAACUCAUAAUGUCAGCCCAAAGGGAGAAUCAGCAAGGGAUUUCCAUUGUCAAUAAGUGACAUGGAGCAAGUUUACUCUCUGUCUGUCUGUCUCUGUCUCUGUCUCUGUCUCUCUCUCUCUCUCUCACACACACACACACACACACACACACACAAUUUUACUUCAUGAAAAACUCAAGCUUCUCCUUAGAAAACAGAGAUCAGGGGAGAAAACCUAGGGUGAGAAUUCCUUUCUGUCCUACCAUCUGGCCGCUGACUCAGAUUCAGGCUUUAGAUUGCUCAGAAAUAGGGCUGCAGUCACUCCACUGGAUGAGGUCUGCUCUUUGAAUUUAUCUGAAACUCUCUCCUCUCCUUCUUCACUCUCCUGAAUGUAUUCAGAAACAUAGUCAUGGACAGCAACUCGGUGGGAAGUGCCAAGAGCACGGGCAGUAGUGUCUUCUAGGAGGAACACACACAGACGGGCUCUAGAGAGCAGGGCCUGCUGGGUCCUGUGGUUUUGUGUGCUUCUCAUCUUUACAGUAGUGGGGGUACAAGGAGAUGCCAGUUCACUGGAGCCGAGGAGCUCCAGUAGAAAGCCUGCUGACUGGGAACUGGACUGAAGCUGUGCACACCAAGCGGCUGGCAAGCUGUCGUUCCGGAGAGCAGGCCAAGAGCAAGCCACAAUUCUGUUGAUGAAUACUGUGUAUAGGGCUUGCCUCACUUAAAAGUGAAUAGGGCGAGAGGUGCCUGGCUGGCUCAGGCAGUUAAGUGUGUGACUCUUGAUCUUGGCUCUGUCAUGAUCUCACAGUUCGGGAGAUCGAGCCCCAUGCUGGGCUCUGUGCUGACAGCAUGGAGCUUGCUUGGGAUUCUCUCUCUGCCUCUCUCUCUCUCUCUCUCUCAAAAUAAAUAAAUAAACAACAAAAAUGAGCAAACAGGGAGGGGUGCCUGUGUGGCUCAGUAGGUUAAGUGUCCAACUUCAGCUCAGGUCAUGUUCUCAGCCCUGUGUUGGGCUCUCUGCUGUCAGCACAGGGUCCUCUUAGGAUCCUCUGUCUCCUUGUCUCUCUGCCCACUCUCCCCCCCCCGCCCCCCACCUCAUGCUUGCUUGCAUGUUCUCUCUCUCUCAGAAAUAAACAAAAAUUAAAGAAAAAGAGUGAAUAGGGAGAAAGAAACAAUCACAUGGGGUCUUAGAAAAAAUAUUUCUAUUCGAGACUUGUAGGAAUUUUACAUUAGUGACUAUUCAGUAAUGUCUACCUCUCUCAUUAGAAUUGUAGAAUAUACAAGCUCUCUCAGAGCACUGACCACCUCUACUUUAACACUGCACACUAAAUACCUAGUAUCAAAUGUGGCACAUAGUAAACAUUUCAUACAUAUUUGUGGAUCAAUUCAUGAACUGCUAAAGAAACCUCAGAGCAACAAUAGAAGAGGAUAAAAAAGCAUAGGAACUUGUCCAAAUUAUCUAACUCACAUUGUCGUCUCACAUCCUUGAUUCUACUGAACACAGAACACAGGGUUGACAAUAAACCAUUUGGCAUGUAAGCUGUAGGGACCAUGUCUCUUUUUUAUAAAUUUCACAAAAUCCUGCAUAGUCCCACUUAGCAAGUAAAGAGAAUAAUUGAAAACUGGGACUAUGUAAGUUCUCAUGAGUCGGGAAACUCAUAAGUCAUCAUUUGUAAAUUAAAGGAUUCUCCAUUUUUGGGGCACCUGGAAUGAAAAAAGAACCUUAAAUUGGAAUAUGGAGAUCCCUGCUAUAUACAUAGGAGAGACUUCCUGCCGGGGAGGCCUGUGAACCCCGAAAUCAUGACCAGCUUGGGUAUAGUUUUAGACUUAGACAUAUUUGAGAGAAAUGUCCCCAUUUCUGAUCCUGAGAAGUUGCAAUGGUUGUCAGUUUAAAUAUUAACACAGGGGCACAUGAAAUCAUGACUCCUACCUAUUCUCAUGCAGAGAAACUAAAAUAUAGAACUUCAAAAAAAAAAAAAAAGAAAAGAAUAUUGAAAAAGACAUAAAAACGAGUUAUCUGGGUUAGGUUGGUCACAGUACUCUCUGAAAAGGGGAGGGACUCCCAUUCCUCCGUCAACAUCCCUUCUCAGCCUCUCAUCUAACAUUUCUAAAAGAGGGCUGAUCCUGUGUCUAUGUUUAGCAAAACAAUGCAGUGAAAGGAUGGAAGAACUAUUGUGCUAUGUGACAUUGAGAAUGCUUGAACAUUUUCUCAUGUUCAAAAUGUAACCAGCUUUGUGAAUCUUUUGUGAUAGUUUUCCUACUAUGACACUUGAGCAACAAGCAAACCGCCCUCGAAUCACUUCCUAGCCUUUGGUUUAGCGGGGAAAUGGAUGAAAAGCUUAUCCCACAGGAACAAGUAGAGCCAGUGGCAUGGGUUCGUCAGUCCAUUUUCGACAGUGGAAGGGGAACACCUAAGGAAUUCUUAUGGGCCAUGUCCUCAGUGCACAUUCUGAUUCAAUCACCAACUCUUAAUUUUAGAUCGUAUCUUCCACCAAAUCUCCAUUGUAAAUAGAAUACAAGAUACAAAGAAAUGAACAGAGUUCCUUUUUGCUUUUACUUUUGCCACAUCGAGGUCCUUAGUGGAAAAUCUUAGUGGAGAAAGUCAGCUGUUGCUCUCAAUUCAGCUGUGAAGAUCAUUCUCUCAGGAAACAACCCUUUCUUUAGGAAAAGGAAAGAAAGAAGGUGAAAUGUCUUUUCGUUUUUGAGACAGAGAGAGAGAGAGACGGAGAGAGACAAAGAGAAUCUAAAGCAGGCUCCAUGCCCAGUGAGGAGCCUGACCCAGGGCUCGAUCUCACAACCUGAGCCAACAUCAACAGUAGGAUGUUUAACUGACUGAGCCACCCAGGUGCCCUGAAGCGUCUUCUGUUUAAUAUGCUUUAUUCAAACUGAAAGUUACCCAACGAAGAGACUUAUCUGUGUUACCAUGUUCAUCCCAUUUCCUUGUAAGGAUGUACUGCACAGGUGAGAUGUUUAAAUAAGAGUGCCAUGGAUACUAGGUAAUAACAAUAAAGACAGUAACAAGGGUAGCUAAUACUGUGUGCUUAGUGUGCAUUAGGUAUUGGUCUAAAUGCUUUAGAAUAUAGUUCACUCAGUUGCCACCACAACUCUAUGAGGUAGACACUGUUAGUAGCUCCACAUUUCACAAAGAGGUCAAUUAACUUGACCAAAAAAGAGCUGGGAUUAGAAACUAAAUAGUAUGGCUCUAAAUCCACACUCUUUUUUUUUUUAAGUUGAUUUAUUUAUUU
Long non-coding RNA from Acinonyx jubatus (cheetah), 7810 nucleotides. RefSeq lists it as uncharacterized. The transcript has 2 exons. The record is from RefSeq and is a predicted model, not a curated record. Lineage: Eukaryota; Metazoa; Chordata; Mammalia; Carnivora; Felidae.